This 460-nucleotide ribosomal RNA is filed under the name uncultured bacterium. RNAcentral describes it as "partial 16S ribosomal RNA". It matches the Rfam family "Bacterial small subunit ribosomal RNA", at positions 338 to 795 of the family's 1533-position model. The record is from RNAcentral.
CCUACGGGAGGCAGCAGUGAGGAAUAUUGGUCAAUGGGCGCGAGCCUGAACCAGCCAAGUCGCGUGAGGGAUGACGGUCCUACGGAUUGUAAACCUCUUUUGCCGGGGAGCAAGCGUGCGUUCGUGAACGCACGUCGAGAGUACCCGGAGAAAAAGCAUCGGCUAACUCCGUGCCAGCAGCCGCGGUAAUACGGAGGAUGCGAGCGUUAUCCGGAUUUAUUGGGUUUAAAGGGUGCGCAGGCGGGAGAUCAAGUCAGCGGUAAAAUGUCGGGGCUCAACCCCGGCCGGCCGUUGAAACUGGUUUUCUAGAGUUGGAGAGAAGUAUGCGGAAUUCGUGGUGUAGCGGUGAAAUGCAUAGAUAUCACGAAGAACUCCGAUUGCGAAGGCAGCAUACCGGCUCCAUACUGACGCUGAGGCACGAAAGCGUGGGGAUCGAACAGGAUUAGAUACCCUUGUAGUC